Molecule: ribosomal RNA, 455 nt
Filed under: Zhangixalus dugritei (Sichuan whipping frog)
Lineage: Eukaryota; Metazoa; Chordata; Amphibia; Anura; Rhacophoridae
Description: Rhacophorus dugritei (Sichuan whipping frog) partial 16S ribosomal RNA
Rfam family: Bacterial large subunit ribosomal RNA
Source: RNAcentral
UGUUCUUUAAAUAGGGACUAGUAUCAACGGCAUCACGAGGGUUACACUGUCUCCUUUCUCCAAUCAGUGAAACUGAUCUUCCCGUGAAGAAGCGGGAAUAUAAUCAUAAGACGAGAAGACCCCAUGGAGCUUUAAAUUUAUAGCAACUCAGUCAAACAAAUCCUUAUAAUCCACAGAGCCAUGCUUACUAAUUUUAGGUUGGGGUGACCGCGGAGUAAAAAUUAACCUCCACAACGAAAAGAACUAAAUCUUUAUCCAAGAGCUACGGCUCUAAGAAUUAGAACACUAACGACAAUGACCCGAUAAUCGAUCAACGGACCAAGUUACCCUGGGGAUAACAGCGCAAUCUACUUCGAGAGCUCAUAUCGACAAGUAGGCUUACGACCUCGAUGUUGGAUCAGGGCAUCCCAGUGGUGCAGCCGCUACUAAUGGUUCGUUUGUUCAACGAUUAAAGC